RNAcentral lists this ribosomal RNA (247 nucleotides) under uncultured bacterium. RNAcentral describes it as "partial small subunit ribosomal RNA". It matches the Rfam family "Bacterial small subunit ribosomal RNA", at positions 26 to 285 of the family's 1533-position model. The record is from RNAcentral.
AGAAUCAACGCUGGCGGCGUGCCUAACACAUGCAAGUCGAACGAGAAAGUGGAGCAAUCCAUGAGUAAAGUGGCGACCGGGUGAGUAACACGUGACUAACCUACCUUCGAGUGGGGGAUAACCUCGGGAAACCGAGGCUAAUACCGCAUAACAUCGCAAGAUCAAAGCAGCAAUGCGCUGGAAAGAGGGGGGUCGCGGCUGAUUAGCUAGUUGGCGGGGUAAUGGCCCACCAAGGCGAAGAUCGGUA